RNAcentral lists this ribosomal RNA (448 nucleotides) under uncultured bacterium. RNAcentral's name for it is "bacterial SSU rRNA". It matches the Rfam family "Bacterial small subunit ribosomal RNA", at positions 328 to 793 of the family's 1533-position model. The record is from RNAcentral.
UCGCCAGACUCCUACGGGAGGCAGCAGUGGGGGAUAUUGCACAAUGGGGGGAACCCUGAUGCAGCGACGCCGCGUGGGUGAAGGAGCGUUUCGGCGCGUAAAGCCCUAUCGGCAGGGAAGAAGAUGACGGUACCUGACUAAGAAGCCCCGGCUAACUACGUGCCAGCAGCCGCGGUAAUACGUAGGGGGCAAGCGUUAUCCGGAUUUACUGGGUGUAAAGGGAGCGUAGACGGCGAUGCAAGCCAGGGGUGAAAGCCCGGGGCCCAACCCCGGGACUGCCCUUGGAACUGCAUGGCUGGAGUGCGGGAGGGGCAGGCGGAAUUCCUGGUGUAGCGGUGAAAUGCGUAGAUAUCAGGAGGAACACCGGCGGCGAAGGCGGCCUGCUGGACCGCGACUGACGUUGAGGCUCGAAAGCGUGGGGAGCGGACAGGAUUAGAUACCCUGGUAA